UUGGGUAGGCUUUGGCCAUAAAUCCCCACCAUUGUGAACGAAGCUUUAGUUGUAGUUGCUUCGGCGGGUGGUAAUACCAAGCCCCUUACGGGGUACCCGCCGGAGGCAAGUAACUUCUUGUCAUUUAUUGUUAUGUCUGAGUAAACUUUUAAUAAGUCA
RNAcentral lists this unclassified non-coding RNA (159 nucleotides) under uncultured fungus. RNAcentral's name for it is "sequence contains ITS1". The record is from RNAcentral. Lineage: Eukaryota; Fungi.